GCAGGAACAGGAGUCGAGCCCUUGAGCAAAAAGCCUUCCCGUCUGUAAGUGCCCGUGAUCCCAUGAGCCGGGACUCCUGACUCACAGGAAGACAGGCGUGAGCGCCCACCACCAACCCUGGCGGCCAGCGGCAGUGGUGUCCACCUGAAAGAUCACAGCGAGAUUCUCUUUCAUACGUCGUCUCCUCCUAGCCCUGGUGGGAGCAGGCCCGUGUGGAUCCAGGACAUCAAAGGGCAGAUUAUGUGGCUGCAAAGCCGUCGCCGACAGCACGGCUCACAUCUUGGUGCUUCUCCUUCUCAGAGGCUGGUCUCUUCUGGGCCCUGUAAAAGGCAGCACGUCAUAAACACUGUCUCCCACACAAGGGCCGUGGGCUGCCUUUGCCCCUCCUGGACAUGCCGCCUUGCACUGUGGUCUGCAGUGCAGCUCUUCUGCGUUCCUCCGUACGGGCCAGUCGGGACUGCUGAGAGAUGGUGAAGAAAGCCACCUGGACAGCUGCAUGUGGACGUGUCUGCCACUGCAGAAAGUCUCAGGGCUUCUCUGAUACUGGCACCAGUGAGCACCUGCUGGUGUCCUCAUCCAGAAUAUUCUGCAGAAUUAUUUUGACUUUGUCCAAUAUUUAGAUUUUUCCCCAAAACUUUAGUACCUGUUUCUAAAUGUGUAAGAGAACCUAAGAUAUAUUAAUAAAAUAGAAUGAAUUUGGA
Long non-coding RNA from Tupaia belangeri chinensis (Chinese tree shrew), 701 nucleotides. RefSeq lists it as uncharacterized. The transcript has 2 exons. The record is from RefSeq and is a predicted model, not a curated record. NCBI's taxonomy places the organism in Eukaryota, Metazoa, Chordata, Mammalia, Scandentia, Tupaiidae.